GACACUGGCUCUUUGGAUCAACGUGUUUCUUCUGCUUCCGCAAAGGACCGUGAGCAGAUACAUUCUAAGUCACACUAUGAUAUCUCAAUGUUGAACUCCAGAAAGUUCCCUAGAUUUGGAGUCAAAACUCAGCUCUCGAUAAGGAAACCAAGGCUCAGAGAAGUUAUGCUACUUCUCCAAGGUCACGAAGCUAGAUUCCUCUGUGGCAUCAAUAUGUGAAAAUAUGCACUGUGAUUCUGCAGGAAAGGGACGUAAUAUGCA
This is a non-coding RNA of Kogia breviceps (pygmy sperm whale), 261 nucleotides long. Lineage: Eukaryota; Metazoa; Chordata; Mammalia; Artiodactyla; Physeteridae. The record is from RefSeq and is a predicted model, not a curated record.